UACGGGGGGGGCAAGCGUUGUUCGGAAUUACUGGGCGUAAAGGGCUCGUAGGCGGCCUACUAAGUCAGACGUGAAAUCCCUCGGCUUAACCGGGGAACUGCGUCUGAUACUGGAUGGCUUGAGUUUGGGAGAGGGAUGCGGAAUUCCAGGUGUAGCGGUGAAAUGCGUAGAUAUCUGGAGGAACACCGGGGGCGAAGGCGGCAUCCUGGACCAACACUGACGCUGAGUGAGCGAAAGCCAGGGGAGCAAACGGG
This 254-nucleotide ribosomal RNA is filed under the name uncultured bacterium. RNAcentral's name for it is "partial 16S ribosomal RNA". It matches the Rfam family "Bacterial small subunit ribosomal RNA", at positions 524 to 776 of the family's 1533-position model. The record is from RNAcentral.